Homo sapiens (human) is the source of this 777-nucleotide long non-coding RNA. Ensembl annotates it as ZNF503 antisense RNA 1. Its record names the gene ZNF503-AS1. The record is from Ensembl. NCBI's taxonomy places the organism in Eukaryota, Metazoa, Chordata, Mammalia, Primates, Hominidae.
ACACACGAGGGUGGGUUUCAGCUCCCACUUGUUUUUUUGGUCAGGUUCCCCAAGAAACAGACUCGGGAUUUGCAUGCAGGAGUCUUAUUGGGGAACGCUUUCAGGAACUACCACCCCGUAUGGGAGCGAGAGAAGCAGGACUGUGCAGAAGGAGAAGUUGAACAACUCCUGGAAAGCUCUGAAGCUGGGAUCAUCCUUCCAGAAUGUCUUGGAUUGAGACAAGGGUUUCACCAGCAACAGAGAAAGCAGAAGCCAUCCUGGGCAAACCUGGACAGGUGGUCACCGUGUGAAACCUGAAGUCCCCUUUGAUCCUCCCAUCUGGUUACAACCACCCCCAAUCAGAGUACUUUAAUCAGCAUUUAAUGACCCAGUCGAAAAUUCAUUGUUUGGACCCAAGCACUGGUGGGAAAGGCAGGAGGGGAGGCCUGCCUUCCUUCCUCCCUCCCGAGCCCUACAGCAGGCCAUGGAGUGGUGAGCGAGUUCGUACAGUGCCAACCACAUUCCCAGAAACUUCCAGCAGAGGUUAAUCCUGCUCCUCUCAGGUGGGCUUGGCCCAUUCUCUAGACUUUGGAAGGUAAUGUUCUAUAGAGGCCUGUUCUGAAGCUUUACCAGGUCAAACCGGAGAAGAACCCAACAAGUAACUCAUCCCAGCCUAACUAUUCUUCAAGGGCAAUCAACCUACAGCAUCCAAGCACAGAGAAAUCAAAUCCAUGGAGAAUCUUCAAAUUAGGCUCAGAAUCCAUUUGGGUCAAUGAAUUUACUGUUAUUAAGAUCUUA